GACGAACGCUGGCGGCGUGCUUAACACAUGCAAGUCGAACGGAAAGGCCCUGCUUUUGUGGGGUGCUCGAGUGGCGAACGGGUGAGUAACACGUGAGUAACCUGCCCUUGACUUUGGGAUAACUUCAGGAAACUGGGGCUAAUACCGGAUAGGAGCUCCUGCUGCAUGGUGGGGGUUGGAAAGUUUCGGCGGUUGGGGAUGGACUCGCGGCUUAUCAGCUUGUUGGUGGGGUAGUGGCUUACCAAGGCUUUGACGGGUAGCCGGCCUGAGAGGGUGACCGGCCACAUUGGGACGGAGAUACGGCCCAGACUCCUACGGGAGGCAGGAGUGGGGAAUAUUGCACAAUGGGCGGAAGCAGGAUGCAGCAACGCCGCGUGCGGGAUGACGGCCUUCGGGUUGUAAACCGCUUUCGCCUGUGACGAAGCGUGAGUGACGGUAAUGGGGAAAGAAGCACCGGCUAACUACGU
RNAcentral lists this ribosomal RNA (467 nucleotides) under uncultured bacterium. Its description in RNAcentral is "partial 16S ribosomal RNA". It matches the Rfam family "Bacterial small subunit ribosomal RNA", at positions 28 to 506 of the family's 1533-position model. The record is from RNAcentral.